UCCCUGCUGGCUCAGAUGGUAAAGCACCUUCCUGCAAUUCAGGAGACCCAGGUUCGAUCCCUGGGUCAGGAA
Molecule: transfer RNA, 72 nt
Filed under: Bos taurus (domestic cattle)
Lineage: Eukaryota; Metazoa; Chordata; Mammalia; Artiodactyla; Bovidae
Also listed under: 1 other name
Rfam family: tRNA
About the family: Transfer RNA (tRNA) molecules are approximately 80 nucleotides in length. Their secondary structure includes four short double-helical elements and three loops (D, anti-codon, and T loops).
Source: Rfam by way of RNAcentral